RNAcentral lists this ribosomal RNA (468 nucleotides) under uncultured bacterium. Its description in RNAcentral is "partial 16S ribosomal RNA". It matches the Rfam family "Bacterial small subunit ribosomal RNA", at positions 28 to 507 of the family's 1533-position model. The record is from RNAcentral.
GACGAACGCUGGCGGCGUGCCUAACACAUGCAAGUCGAACGGAAAGGCCCUGCUCUUGUGGGGUUCCCGAGCGGCGAACGCGUGAGUAACACGUGAGUAACCUGCCCUUGACUUUGGGAUAUUUUCAGGAAACUGGGGCUAAUACCGGAUCGGAUCCCCCCCUGCAUGGAGGGGGUUGGAAAUUUUCGGCUGUCGGGGAUGGACUCGCGGCUUAUCAGCUUGUUGGUGGGGUAGUGGCUUACCGAGGCUUUGACGGGUAGCCGGCCUGAGAGGGUGACCGGCCGCAUGGGGACUGAGGUACGGCCCAGCCUCCUACGGGCGGCAGCGGUGGGGAGUAUUGCACAAUGAGCGGACGCCUGAUGCCGCAACGCAGCGUGCGGAAUGACGGCCUUCGGGUUGUAAACCGCUUUCGCCUAUGACGAAGCGUGACUGACGGUAAUGGGUAAAGAAGCACCGGCUAACUACGUG